GCGAGUGUAGCUCAAUUGGCAGAGCACCGGUCUCCAAAACCGGGGGUUGGGGGUUCGAUUCCCUCCACUCGUG
This 73-nucleotide transfer RNA is filed under the name Myxococcales bacterium. RNAcentral describes it as "tRNA-Trp". It matches the Rfam family "tRNA". Rfam says of the family: Transfer RNA (tRNA) molecules are approximately 80 nucleotides in length. Lineage: Bacteria; Pseudomonadati; Myxococcota; Myxococcia; Myxococcales. The record is from RNAcentral.